This 76-nucleotide transfer RNA is filed under the name Leucobacter komagatae. RNAcentral's name for it is "tRNA-Ala". It matches the Rfam family "tRNA". Rfam says of the family: Transfer RNA (tRNA) molecules are approximately 80 nucleotides in length. Their secondary structure includes four short double-helical elements and three loops (D, anti-codon, and T loops). The record is from RNAcentral. Lineage: Bacteria; Bacillati; Actinomycetota; Actinomycetes; Micrococcales; Microbacteriaceae.
GGGUCCUUAGCUCAGUUGGUAGAGCGCGUCGUUCGCAAUGACGAGGUCAGGGGUUCAAUUCCCCUAGGAUCCACAA